AUGUCUAAAUGAUUUGUUUUUUCUUAACAUUAGAUUGCAGACGGCUCAUUAUAACAGUUAUUGUAUUAUUGACGUUAAAUUUUAGGUGGAUACCUGUGGUAAUUCUAGAGCUAAUACAUGCCACACAAAAUGUACAUUUGCGUAUAUUAUUAAGGUAUUAUUUUUUUUCAAAUUAAAAUGUUUCGGCAGUAUGGAUGAUUCAUAGUAAUGGUUUUAGAACGCGAUUGAGUACGCGCCCUGUUAUGUAAGUUUCUGACCUAUCAGUUAGUCAGUAGUGUAUUGGACUACUGAGGCGUUGACGGGUAACAGAGAAUUAGGGUUCUGUUCCGGAGAGGGAGCCUGAGAAACAGCUACUACAUCUAAGGAAGGCAGCAGGCGCGUAAAUUACCCAAUUCUGAUAAAUAGAGGUAGUGACAAGAAAUCAUAAUAUUUUGCCUUAGGGUUAAGUAAUUGUAUUGAGAACAGAGUAGUCAUAUUAUCGAUAAACUAUUGGAGGGCAAGUCUGGUGCCAGCAGCCGCGGUAAUUCCAGCUCCAAUAGUGUAUGCUAACAUUGUUGCAGUUAAAAAGCUCGUAGUCGAAUUUUUAAGGGAAUCAAUUUUAAGUGGUCUCAAAGAACUGCAGAAAAAGAUGAUUUAUCUUACUUUAUGCUUGUUCACCGUUGGAAUUUAUUUUCUGAUAGUAAUUUGGGUAUAAGUUUACUUUGAGAAAAUUUGAGUGUUCAAAACAGUCUUACGGCUUUUUAUUAAAGCAUGGAAUGAUACAUAAUGACAUCGGUUAAGUUUUGUUGGUUUGAAUAGCUGAUGUAAUGAUGGAUAGAGUUAGUCGGAGGUAUUAGUAUUUUGUCGUUAGAAGUGAAAUUCCGGGAUCGACAAAAGACAAACAACUGCGAAAGCAUUUGCCUAGUAUUUGCUCCUUGAUCAAGAACGUAAGUUGGGGGAUCGAAGACGAUCAGAUACCGUCGUAGUCUCAACUUUAAACUAUAUCAACUAGGGGUUGGCAAAUGUGUAUACGACUUUGUCAGAACCUUAUGAGAAAUCAAAGUGUUUGGGUUCCGGGGGGAGUAUGGUCGCAAGGCUGAAACUUAAAGGAAUUGACGGAAGGGCACCACAAGAUGUGGAUCCUGUGGCUUAAUUUGACUCAACACGGGAAAACUCACCAGGUCCAGACAUAGGUAGGACUGACAGAAUGAUAGCUCUUUCUUGAUUCUAUGGGUGGUGGUGCAUGGCCGUUCUUAGUUGGUGGAGUGAUUUGUCUGGUUAAUUCCGUUAACGAACGAGACUACUACUUGCUAAAUAGCAAAAAAUUUUUUACUAGAAUAUUUGCUUCUAGAAGGA
Molecule: ribosomal RNA, 1335 nt
Filed under: Collozoum pelagicum
Lineage: Eukaryota; Polycystinea; Collodaria; Sphaerozoidae
Description: SSU rRNA
Rfam family: Eukaryotic small subunit ribosomal RNA
Source: RNAcentral